Molecule: ribosomal RNA, 253 nt
Filed under: uncultured bacterium
Lineage: Bacteria
Description: partial 16S ribosomal RNA
Rfam family: Bacterial small subunit ribosomal RNA
Source: RNAcentral
UACGGAGGGUGCAAGCGUUGUUCGGAAUCACUGGGCGUAAAGGGCGUGUAGGCGGUCCGCUAAGUCUGAUGUGAAAGCCCGGGGCUCACCCCCGGAAGGGCAUUGGAAACUGGCGGACUCGAGUCCCGGAGAGGAAGGUGGAAUUCCUGGUGUAGCGGUGAGAUGCGUAGAUAUCAGGAGGAAUACCGGUGGCGAAGGCGGCCUUCUGGACGGUGACUGACGCUGAGACGCGAAAGCGUGGGGAGCAAACAGG